This 362-nucleotide unclassified non-coding RNA is filed under the name soil metagenome. Its description in RNAcentral is "partial contains 5.8S ribosomal RNA, internal transcribed spacer 2, and large subunit ribosomal RNA". The stretch from base 1 to 120 matches the Rfam family "5.8S ribosomal RNA", at positions 35 to 154 of the family's 154-position model. The record is from RNAcentral.
GAUGAAGAACGUAGCGAAAUGCGAUAAGUAAUGUGAAUUGCAGAAUUCAGUGAAUCAUCGAAUCUUUGAACGCACCUUGCGCUCCUUGGUAUUCCGAGGAGCAUGCCUGUUUGAGUGUCAUUAAUAUAUCAACCUUCUCUUUUUUGAGUUGUUUGGAUGUGGGGGUUUGCUGGCCUCUUAAAUGAUUCAGCUCCCCUGAAACGCAUUAGCAGAACAACCUGUUCAUUGGCGUGAUAAUUAUCUAUGCUAUUGAAUGUGAGGGCAGUUCAGCUUUCUAACCGUCCUUGGACAAUUCAUCAUUAAUGUGACCUCAAAUCAGGUAGGACUACCCGCUGAACUUAAGCAUAUCAAUAAGCGGAGGA